Molecule: transfer RNA, 90 nt
Filed under: Candidatus Peregrinibacteria bacterium
Lineage: Bacteria; Candidatus Peregrinibacteriota
Also listed under: 1 other name
Description: tRNA-Ser
Rfam family: tRNA
About the family: Transfer RNA (tRNA) molecules are approximately 80 nucleotides in length. Their secondary structure includes four short double-helical elements and three loops (D, anti-codon, and T loops). Further hydrogen bonds mediate the characteristic L-shaped molecular structure. tRNAs have two regions of fundamental functional importance: the anti-codon, which is responsible for specific mRNA codon recognition, and the 3' end, to which the tRNAs corresponding amino acid is attached (by aminoacyl-tRNA synthetases). tRNAs cope with the degeneracy of the genetic code in two manners: having more than one tRNA (with a specific anti-codon) for a particular amino acid; and 'wobble' base-pairing, i.e. permitting non-standard base-pairing at the 3rd anti-codon position.
Source: RNAcentral
GGAGGGAUGGCCGAGUGGUCGAUGGCGCACGCUUGGAGUGCGUGUAAGGGGCUCCCCCCUUCCAGGGUUCGAAUCCCUGUCCCUCCGCCA